Molecule: long non-coding RNA, 1532 nt
Filed under: Macaca fascicularis (crab-eating macaque)
Lineage: Eukaryota; Metazoa; Chordata; Mammalia; Primates; Cercopithecidae
Description: lncRNA (ENSMFAG00000058837.1)
Source: RNAcentral
CAGUAAAGUAUCAAUGUCACCAAGCUGGCAGCCUGUGCUUGUCGGAUAUGGUUUUUGUUCUGCAGAUGGCACAGAAGGAAUGGCUAGAGAUUACUGCCCAUUUCCCAAAAGUCUCUGAGGAGCUGUUGAGCACCUCCAUAAUAAAAAAGCUUUGUUUUGCAGUGACUUACAUUCAUUCAUUUAUUCAUUCAUUUGAACAAGGGACAAACUAUUUUCUUCACAAUUUUAUUGAAGUGUAAUUGAACUACAGCAAACCACACAGAGUUGAUCGUUUUUAUUUGUGAAUCCUGUAUUUGUAAAUUCACCUACUUAAUAACAUCAUGGCACUUUUGUAGUCAUCUGAAGAUGUGCGGAGUGAUGAAAAAUCUGAAAAAAAUUUCUCUUUCAUGUUUCAGCUCUCAAACUGUAAACAAGUACCCUGUUUUGGUUGUCCAUUCAGUGACACGUUGUCCACAUUUUUGUGCUUUUUGUUAGUGAUUUUGCUGUUUAAAAUUGGUCUCUCGAACCUACCACUAAAGUGCUAUCUGAUGUUCCUAAGUGUGGGAAGUCUGUGAUGUGUUUUAUAGAGAAAAUAUGUCAUUUGGAUAAGCUUCCUGCAGGCAUGAGUUCUAGUGCUUUUUCACUGGGAGCUCAAUAUUAAUGAAUCAACAAUAUGUUACACUCAGAAAAGGAAGAAAAAAAUUGCCAAUCUGUAUCUGAGGCUGUUCCAGAAAGUGUUAAAGUAAUAUUUAUAAAUGAAGCCAUGGAAAACAAAGAAAAGUGGUGAAAUUUGUGAAUUAAUGAGAUGAUAGCUUAUUUUUUCAAUUAAAAAAAAAAAGCAUACUGGAUAGCAUUGUUGUAAGACUGAAAAUCCAAGACAUUUGUGGCUGUGUUACACAAGGUCAGGAAAAUGUUAAAACCUCCUUGGCUAGUACUGGCCAGCUUGCAUGUUUCCAAUGGUGAUAUCACAUAAAAAAUGUUAGGCUUCAGUGUGAGGCAGGUUCUGCAGAUCAGAAGACUGCAGAGGAAUUUUGAGAAUACCUGCUAAGUGUUACAGGGAAAACGGUUAUGUAGAAGAGCAGGUUUUCAAUACUGAUGAGACUGACUUACUUUACAAGGUCCUUGGCAAAUGAACAUGUAUAAUGCAAAUGACAUUUCGGUUGAACAAAAUGUGACUAGAGGCUCACAGGAAACUAACCCUGUAUUUCCCAGGAGCAAUAGCUGAAUAUUUUCUGACUCAGUAUUUGUGAUGACUUCAUAGAACAUAACUACUAUGGAUAAAGAGAAUAGACUAUAUGUUUCAAGUAUACAAAUCAAUUUAUACACACACACACACACACACACACACAUAUAUAUGUAUAUAUGGAUGGAUGGAUAUCCAAAAAACUGUCAACACAAGAUAAUGAGCAUUUUCUUUACCACCCAAAAUUUUUUGUGCCUCUUUGAAAUCCAUCCCUCCUUCUACUUCUAUUCCUAAACACCCAUUAAACUGCUUUCUGAACCUAUGAAUUCAUUUGCAUGCUCUAUAAUUUCAUAAAAAUGAAAUAUACUCU